RNAcentral lists this ribosomal RNA (333 nucleotides) under Macroderes minutus. RNAcentral describes it as "eukaryotic LSU rRNA". It matches the Rfam family "Eukaryotic large subunit ribosomal RNA", at positions 656 to 954 of the family's 3401-position model. Lineage: Eukaryota; Metazoa; Arthropoda; Insecta; Coleoptera; Scarabaeidae. The record is from RNAcentral.
GAAACACGGACCAAGGAGUCUAGCAUGUGCGCGAGUCAUUGGGACUCUGNCAAAACCUAAAGGCGCAAUGAAAGUAAAGGUCCGCCUCGCGCGGACCGAGGGAGGAUGGGCCCGCCCCGGUGCGGACCCCGCACUCCCGGGGCGUCUCGUUCUCAUCGCGAGAAGAGGCGCACCCAGAGCGUACACGCUGGGACCCGAAAGAUGGUGAACUAUGCCUGGUCAGGACGAAGUCAGGGGAAACCCUGAUGGAGGUCCGUAGCGAUUCUGACGUGCAAAUCGAUCGUCGGAACUGGGUAUAGGGGCGAAAGACUAAUCGAACCUUCUAGUAGCUGG